This 620-nucleotide ribosomal RNA is filed under the name Acidovorax sp. 032S1-6. RNAcentral describes it as "bacterial SSU rRNA". It matches the Rfam family "Bacterial small subunit ribosomal RNA", at positions 130 to 744 of the family's 1533-position model. The record is from RNAcentral. Lineage: Bacteria; Pseudomonadati; Pseudomonadota; Betaproteobacteria; Burkholderiales; Comamonadaceae.
CCAAGAGUGGGGGAAUAACGGAGCGAAAGCUUUGCUAAUACCGCAUACGAUCUACGGAUGAAAGCAGGGGACCGCAAGGCCUUGCGCUCAUGGAGCGGCCGAUGGCAGAUUAGGUAGUUGGUGGGAUAAAAGCUUACCAAGCCGACGAUCUGUAGCUGGUCUGAGAGGACGACCAGCCACACUGGGACUGAGACACGGCCCAGACUCCUACGGGAGGCAGCAGUGGGGAAUUUUGGACAAUGGGCGCAAGCCUGAUCCAGCCAUGCCGCGUGCAGGAUGAAGGCCUUCGGGUUGUAAACUGCUUUUGUACGGAACGAAAAGCCUCUUUCUAAUAAAGAGGGGUCAUGACGGUACCGUAAGAAUAAGCACCGGCUAACUACGUGCCAGCAGCCGCGGUAAUACGUAGGGUGCGAGCGUUAAUCGGAAUUACUGGGCGUAAAGCGUGCGCAGGCGGUAAUGUAAGACAGAUGUGAAAUCCCCGGGCUCAACCUGGGAACUGCAUUUGUGACUGCAUUGCUGGAGUGCGGCAGAGGGGGAUGGAAUUCCGCGUGUAGCAGUGAAAUGCGUAGAUAUGCGGAGGAACACCGAUGGCGAAGGCAAUCCCCUGGGCCUGCACUGAC